CACAUGCAAGUCGAGGGCAGCACAAGGAGCAAUCUGAGGUGGCGACCGGCGCACGGGUGAGUAACACGUAUGCAACCUGCCUGUAAGCGGGGAAGUAACCCGUUGAAAGACGGACUAAUACCGCAUAAUACUAAAUUACUGCAUGGUAAUUUAUUUAAACAUUUAUGGCUUACAGAUGGGCAUGCGCAUGAUUAGCUAGUUGGAGAGGUAACGGCUCCCCAAGGCAACGAUCAUUAGGGGUUCUGAGAGGAAGGUCCCCACACUGGUACUGAGACACGGACCAGACUCCUACGGGAGGCAGCAGUGAGGAAUAUUGGUCAAUGGACGAGAGUCUGAACCAGCCAAGUCGCGUGCAGGAAGAAUGUCCUUAAUGGAUUGUAAACUGCUUUUGCAGGGGAAUAAAGUGCAUCACGUGUGAUGUUUUGUAUGUACUCUGCGAAUAAGGAUCGGCUAACUCCGUGCCAGCCGCUGC
Molecule: ribosomal RNA, 472 nt
Filed under: uncultured bacterium
Lineage: Bacteria
Description: bacterial SSU rRNA
Rfam family: Bacterial small subunit ribosomal RNA
Source: RNAcentral